CGCUGGCGGCGUGCUUAACACAUGCAAGUCGAACGAACCUUCGGGUUAGUGGCGGACGGGUGAGUAACGCGUGGGAAUCUGCCCUCAGGAGGGGGAUAACGGCUGGAAACGGCCGCUAAUACCCCAUAUGCCGAGAGGUGAAAUGAAUUUCGCCUGAGGAUGAGCCCGCGUCUGAUUAGCUUGUUGGUGAGGUAAUGGCUCACCAAGGCUUCGAUCAGUAGCUGGUCUGAGAGGAUGAUCAGCCACACUGGGACUGAGACACGGCCCAGACUCCUACGGGAGGCAGCAGUGGGGAAUUUUCCGCAAUGGGCGAAAGCCUGACGGAGCAACGCCGCGUGAGGGAUGAAGGCCUCUGGGCUGUAAACCUCUUUUCUCAAGGAAGAAGAUCUGACGGUACUUGAGGAAUAAGCCACGGCUAAUUCCGUGCCAGCAGCCGCGGUAAUACGGGAGUGGCAAGCGUUAUCCGGAAUUAUUGGGCGUAAAGCGUCCGCAGGCGGCCUUUCAAGUCUGCUGUUAAAACGUGGAGCUUAACUCCAUCAAGGCAGUGGAAACUGUUGGGCUUGAGUGUGGUAGGGGCAGAGGGAAUUCCCGGUGUAGCGGUGAAAUGCGUAGAUAUCGGGAAGAACACCAGUGGCGAAGGCGCUCUGCUGGGCCAUAACUGACGCUCAUGGACGAAAGCCAGGGGAGCGAAAGGGAUUAGAUACCCCUGUAGUCCUGGCCGUAAACGAUGAACACUAGGUGUCGGGGGAAUCGACCCCCUCGGUGUCGUAGCCAACGCGUUAAGUGUUCCGCCUGGGGAGUACGCACGC
This 809-nucleotide ribosomal RNA is filed under the name uncultured cyanobacterium. RNAcentral describes it as "bacterial SSU rRNA". It matches the Rfam family "Bacterial small subunit ribosomal RNA", at positions 34 to 889 of the family's 1533-position model. Lineage: Bacteria; Bacillati; Cyanobacteriota. The record is from RNAcentral.